AUUGAACGCUGGCGGCAGGCUUAACACAUGCAAGUCGAACGGUAACAUAAGAAAAGCUUGCUUUUUUUGAUGACGAGUGGCGGACGGGUGAGUAAUGCUUGGGAAUCUGCCUUAUGGAGGGGGAUAACUACGGGAAACUGUAGCUAAUACCGCAUAAUAUCUACGGAUUAAAGUGUGGGAUCUUCGGACCACAUACCAUAAGAUGAGCCCAAGUGAGAUUAGGUAGUUGGUGAGGUAAAGGCUCACCAAGCUGACGAUCUCUAGCUGGUUUGAGAGGAUGACCAGCCACACUGGGACUGAGACACGGCCCAGACUCCUACGGGAGGCAGCAGUGGGGAAUAUUGCACAAUGGGCGCAAGCCUGAUGCAGCCAUGCCGCGUGAAUGAAGAAGGCUUUCGGGUUGUAAAGUUCUUUCAUUAGUGAGAAAGGUGCAAAUGUUAAUAGCAUUUGUAAUUGAUGUUAGCUAAAGAAGAAGCACCGGCUAACUCCGUGCCAGCAGCCGCGGUAAUACGGAGGGUGCGAGCGUUAAUCGGAAUAACUGGGCGUAAAGGGCAUGCAGGCGGUUACUUAAGUCAGAUGUGAAAGCCCCGAGCUUAACUUGGGAAUUGCAUUUGAAACUGGGUAACUAGAGUCCUCUAGGGAGGGGUAGAAUUCUACGUGUAGCGGUGAAAUGCGUAGAGAUGUGGAGGAAUACCGAAGGCGAAGGCAACCCCUUGGAGAGAGACUGACGCUCAUAUGCGAAAGCGUGGGUAGCAAACG
RNAcentral lists this ribosomal RNA (759 nucleotides) under uncultured bacterium. Its description in RNAcentral is "bacterial SSU rRNA". It matches the Rfam family "Bacterial small subunit ribosomal RNA", at positions 28 to 774 of the family's 1533-position model. The record is from RNAcentral.